Populus euphratica (Euphrates poplar) is the source of this 1945-nucleotide long non-coding RNA. RefSeq lists it as uncharacterized. The transcript is spliced from 2 exons. The record is from RefSeq and is a predicted model, not a curated record. NCBI's taxonomy places the organism in Eukaryota, Viridiplantae, Streptophyta, Magnoliopsida, Malpighiales, Salicaceae.
AAAUCCAAUAGCGCAAAACUUUAUCAUUUGAAAAAUCAUAUUACUUCUGAAAACACUGCUGGUUCGCGGAUCAUACCAAAUUGGUUUUGCUUUCUUUGAAAAAAUUUAGUGGGCGUCACUAUUACUGCAUUUCUUCCUCAACCUCAACACAUGUAGCUACCUGGCUCUGCAUUAAGUGGCAAGCUGACGGAAAAGUCAGACUUCUAUUCCUGUGAAGUUGUGCUUUGGAGCUUAUAACUGGGAUCCACCUAUCAGUACUACAGAAUCAGUGAUGAAUGAGAGCCUGGUUGCCUGGGCUAGGCCUCUACUCAUCCAAGCUCUGGAAGAUGGAAGUUUUGAAGCUCUUGUCGAUCCAUGACUGGGCACAAAUUAUAAUAACAGUGAGAUAGCUAGCAUGGUUGCUUGUGCUGCUGCUUGUGUGCACCCUUCAUCCUGGAUCCGACCAAGAAUGAGCCAGGCAACUCUUCUUAACUUUCCUUUGCUUUAUCAUGUCCAAUAUAUCAUAAUUACACCUCCAGCCAACUAAUAACGUGGUUCUGAGCAUAAAUUGCCUUCCUAAAGAUUCAAGAAACUAUACGAAAACCAAACAAAGAAAACUUAUCGCAGAUGACUUACCACUAAGUAAUCAUUACUUGGUUGUUAUAUGGAACUAAAUGUUGCUGAGAUUCUGUUUGAUGGGUACUGAAAGAAGAAGCAAACAUACUAUGAUGCUUCCAAAAUGUUAGGAAUUUGUUUUGAAUCAAACAGAUAGUUCGUGCUUUGUAAGGCGGAAAGUCCGCUGAUGAUGAUCUCAAAGCAGGAAUAUUGAGGCCUCCACAGCAUAAUGCAUGGUUCUUCAAGAAGUUCAAGUUGCAGUACCUACCAAUACGAGGAGCAUGAAGAUUUUCAACAUGGCCAGGGGCAGGAGGUAGGAUGGCAUCAAUUGUUACACUGGAACCACCAACGAGUGUGAACCCAACCAGCUCAAGUAAUGAUGUUAGAGCUAAAUUAUUUGAUUUUAAUGACUGAUGUAAUGUCCAUUUUUUUUGUUGAUUCUUAAACUAUCAAAUUUGAGCCUCCUUUUUAGAAGACAGUCAUGCUGAUUCCAUUGCUAAACAUACAGCUUAGUAAUGCCAUGCAUAUAUUGAUUACUGUCAUACAUGUCCUUCACGAGCCUGGGCAUGAACUAUUACUGUUAUACAUGUCCUUCACGAGCCUGGGCAUGAACUACUGGGAGAACAAGGCGGUGGUUCAUGUACUGUGCAGCAAGACUCGACAGAGACAUCAAAGUGCAACUGGCAUUUCGCUAAUGAUGUGGGAAACCGCAUUGUUUUUUUGUCAAAUUACAUUAAAACAAAAGAAAAUGAAGAAGAUCAAAAUUGGCCAUCUGCCCAUGCAGCAGAUCGUAAGAAGCUUUGGUCGACAACCUCUGUGCUGCUUCAGCUUUCACUCGUUCCAUAUAAGAACUAGUAGGCCGCCCUAAAACUAGUUGCACAUACAUCUGCUAAUUCAUUUGCACGUUCUUGAACAAUAUGUUUGGUGGUACAUGGAAACUGCAAUUUGCAUAAUGCUCUGCAAAACAGUGUCCUGUUGCAUUGCGCAUUCAAUUGGUUUUGGCAUAAACAUUAAUUACAACAGAAUAAGAAGAAAAAUGGAAUGUGGGAUAUAAUUAAGAGUGCCUCAAAUACACUUUCGAGCAAUGCUUCGUUUGGUACCUGGCAUUUUCUUUGAAAGUUCAGACUCCAGAAACAUGUUGGGAACAGAAAUGAAAACCCAUUUCACCCAAAAAAUUAAACUGGAUAGUCAUGUUUUCCAUAAUUUGCAAAUGUUAAUUUACUGAAGAUCCCAGCACCAGGGAAGCCACGAAAAUUGAACCUAUCAACUUCAGUUUCUAAAGAUAUCAUCUGAGACGUAGUUAAAUCUCAAACAACUAACCAAAAAAGACUUGAUGACAUCUUCAUUUUUU